RNAcentral lists this small RNA (29 nucleotides) under Bombyx mori (domestic silkworm). Its description in RNAcentral is "ovarian small RNA-17887". Lineage: Eukaryota; Metazoa; Arthropoda; Insecta; Lepidoptera; Bombycidae. The record is from RNAcentral.
GUGCUACCAGAUCAAAUAUACAAUCUACC